UACGAAGGGUGCAAGCGUUACUCGGAAUUACUGGGCGUAAAGCGUGCGUAGAUGGUUUGUUAAGUCUGAUGUGAAAGCCCUGGGCUCAACCUGGGAAUUGCAUUGGAUACUGGCAGGCUAGAGUGCGGUAGAGGAUGGCGGAAUUCCCGGUGUAGCAGUGAAAUGCGUAGAGAUCGGGAGGAACAUCUGUGGCGAAGGCGGCCAUCUGGACCAGCACUGACACUGAGGCACGAAAGCGUGUGGAGCAAACAGG
RNAcentral lists this ribosomal RNA (253 nucleotides) under uncultured bacterium. Its description in RNAcentral is "partial 16S ribosomal RNA". It matches the Rfam family "Bacterial small subunit ribosomal RNA", at positions 524 to 776 of the family's 1533-position model. The record is from RNAcentral.